UGCCAGCAGCCGCGGUAAUACGGAGGAUCCAAGCGUUAUCCGGAAUUAUUGGGUUUAAAGCGCACGUAGGCGGAUUAUUAAGUUAGAGGUGAAAUCCUACCGCUCAACGGUAGAACUGCCUUUAAAACUGGCAGACUUGAGUUAUUGUGAAGUAAUUAGAAUGUGUAGUGUAGCGGUGAAAUGCAUAGAUAUUACACAGAAUACCGAUUGCGAAAGCAGAUUACUAACAAUUAACUGACGCUGAGGGACGAAAGCGUGGGUAGCGAACAGGAUUAGAUA
RNAcentral lists this ribosomal RNA (279 nucleotides) under uncultured bacterium. RNAcentral describes it as "partial 16S ribosomal RNA". It matches the Rfam family "Bacterial small subunit ribosomal RNA", at positions 506 to 784 of the family's 1533-position model. The record is from RNAcentral.